Molecule: ribosomal RNA, 458 nt
Filed under: uncultured bacterium
Lineage: Bacteria
Description: partial 16S ribosomal RNA
Rfam family: Bacterial small subunit ribosomal RNA
Source: RNAcentral
AACGAACGCUGGCGGCAUGCCUAACACAUGCAAGUCGAACGGGACCUGCGGGUAGAGUGGCGCUCGGCUGAGGAACGGCGGGGAAGUUGCUCUUGUGUGCGGAACAACUCGCUGGAGGGGGAGCUCAUAUCGGAAAGGGUGCUAGGACCAAAGAUCUACGGCCGUUGGAUGGGGGCGGGUUGGAUUUGCCAGUUGGUGGGGUAAAGGCAUACUUAGGCGACGAUCCAUAGGUGGUCGGAGAGGAUGAACAGCCACACUGGAACUGAGACAGGGACACGACUCCUAAGGGAGGCACCAGUGGGGAAUAGGAGGCAGUGGGCGGAAGCAUGAUGCAGCCGUGCCGCGUGGAUGAAGAAAACGCUCGGGUUGGAAAGUACGUUCAGCGGGGAGGAAGGGAGUAAAGUUGAUACCAAUGCUGAUUGACGGUAACGGGUGAAGAAGCACCGGCUAACUCCGUG